Peromyscus maniculatus bairdii (prairie deer mouse) is the source of this 227-nucleotide non-coding RNA. The record is from RefSeq and is a predicted model, not a curated record. Lineage: Eukaryota; Metazoa; Chordata; Mammalia; Rodentia; Cricetidae.
CUAAGUUCCAAAUCCAGAGAAAAUGGCAGAAAGUUCUAGGGAUGCUAAGGAAUUCUUCAAAGGACUGGUUUUACAAGCCAUUUUCCUGGAAUGACAGUGUGAGCAAGCCUAGUCCUCAGCAUCAUUGAUGUAAGAAGUAAUGAGCUGCCUGAGUUCCUGCCUUGACUUCUUCCAAAUAGUGGACUGUGACUUGGAAUUGCAAGCCAAAUAAAGCCUUUCUUCCCUAA